GGGAGGAGGACCUGCUGCCUGAGGAGAGGGAGGUUCCUCUGCUAAAGUGAGUUCCUCUAAAUGUCUGUGUAGUCUGAGCUUGUCAAAUGCUGAAGGAUAGUGGUCAUAAUGCUGUUAUCCCCCAUUGACUCUAAUGGUUGACAUGCUCCAUUCCCUCCCUUUCACAGCCUCUACCUUACCACCAAGAGAGUGGAGGACAUCGCCCUGAGGCUCGUCUCCCUGCGCCAGGCCUUCACUGUGAGUGGACCCACUUUUAUUUUUCUCUCUGUGACUUCUUGUUCUCCUUGAGGAAGAUGUGUCACCCUAACUCUUCCCUCUUUCCUAGACCCUGCUUGGUUCCACCCUGAGCAGGAACCAUCUGUUUGUGGCGGGAAAGGUCCUCCUGGGCGCUUUGGUUCAGGCCAACCACAUGGUAACUCACUAACUCAUUCUCUUUCAAGGGAAUUAGAGCAUCCCUAAGGGGAAAUGUGUUCUGUUCACUAAGAUGCUAUUUUCUUUGUCAUAGGACGAGGCCAAAUUCAUCCGUACCUAUAACGACUUUGUGGACUACCUGAGUGACCCCUCCAAGCGGAAUGACAUUGAGAGGGAGCUGGCUGAGGCAAAGGUGAGUUCAUUAACUCUUUCAAGUCUCACUGAGUUCUUCCACAUGCGUGUCUUUUAUACAUCACAGUAGCUGAACUAUAUGAAAUCAUUCCUAUUUUCUCCAAAUGUGUUUUCUUGUCCUAGAUCCAUCAUGUGAACAUGAUAGAUGUCCUCUUUGAGCUAGUGCUGUUUGGGAUGAUGACAGCUCAGAAGUCCCUGAUGGUGCACCCUGGUGGGUUCGUGGAGCGUCUGUACGCUCUCCUGUACUCCUUCCUGCCCACUGCUGCCAACAUGGAGCCAGAGGCUGACAGAUACCUGCUGCUGCUCAAUGUAAGAGUCAAAAGGUUACUUCCUGUUUACUUCCUUAUUCAUGGUUAACCAGGUCCCAAUGCCAUUUUAGGGGGAGUAUUUCUAAUUGUCUCUCUCCUCUUGAUAAGCUAGUACCUCAGAGCCAUUUUCUAUGUGUUGUGUGGUGUUCUCUUCAGGGCGGACUGAUGGCUCUGCUAGAUGACAUGUUUGGCCAGCAGCUGGCCUGGUACUUUAACCCAGAGUCUCUGGUCACUGAGCUCUCCAGCCUCCUGGAGUACCACUUGGAGAACGUCAUGGCCAGCAUGUAGUCCUACUGCAGGGACCAUACUCCUUUCUCCAUUUUUGCUUCUGUCUUUUCAUCUAUUUGAUUUAUGACCAUUUCCUCUUCCUGGAGGUAUAAUGCAUAUAUUAGAAUAUUACAUGAACAAUGAUGCUUUAUUAUCUGCAUAUGGAAAUAAAAAACUAUGUUUAGUUGAUUUACAGAUACUAUAGGCCCACACUUAUAUGGUUUUGUACAGUGAUAUGUGAUAAUGUACUAUUUAAACACAUGUAGGACUAUAUACACUGAGUGCACAAAACAUUAGGAACAUCUGCCCCUGAACAGGCAGUUAACCCACUGUUCCUUGGCCAUCAUUGAAAAUAAGAAUUUAUUCUUAACUGACUUGACUAGUUAAAUAAGAAAAUACUGUACUAUUUAAAAACAUGUAGGAUGACAUACACUGAGUCCACAAUAGACUAGGAACAUCUUCCUAAUAUUGAGUUGCACACUCUUUUCCCCUCAGAACAGCCUCAUUUCCUCUGGGCAUGGACUCGACAAGCUGCCCUAAGCGUUCCACAAGGAUGCUGGCCCAUGUUGUGUCAAGUUGGCUGGACGUCCUUUGGGUGGUGGACCAUUCUUGAUACACAUGGGAAACUGUUGAGCAUGAAAAAACCAGCAGUGUUGCAGUGCUUGACACACUUAACCCGGUGCGCCUGGCACCUACUACCAUACCCCGUUCAAAGGCAGUUAAAUAUUUUCUCAUGCCGAAUCACCCUCUGAAUGAC
This 1935-nucleotide long non-coding RNA is filed under the name Oncorhynchus kisutch (coho salmon). RNAcentral's name for it is "lncRNA (ENSOKIG00005035717.1)". The record is from RNAcentral. Lineage: Eukaryota; Metazoa; Chordata; Actinopteri; Salmoniformes; Salmonidae.